This is a long non-coding RNA of Catharus ustulatus (Swainson's thrush), 2560 nucleotides long. RefSeq lists it as uncharacterized. The transcript has 10 exons. NCBI's taxonomy places the organism in Eukaryota, Metazoa, Chordata, Aves, Passeriformes, Turdidae. The record is from RefSeq and is a predicted model, not a curated record.
ACGUGUUGAAGCACGGGUCGUCGUAGAAGUCAUCGGCGGCGGUGAAGGAGCAGAGGGAGCCCUCCGUCAUCUCCAUGGGGCCCACCCGCCCUGCCGCCGCGCCGCGGAGAGCAGCCGCCCCGAUGCCCCGAAGUGCCGGGUGCCGCCGGCCGCUCGCCCGGGGGAUCAGUGACGGCUCCGCUGGCUACGCACGGGGAAGAAGCCGCCAGCUCCUGGACAGGUCUGUCCGCGGCCACACGGUUAUAAACGGUGGCGAAACUUCAGCUUGUUCAAAAUCAGCAGCAAAGCUCUGUCUUCAGAGCAAGGGGCAAGGGGCUGACUGAAGAACUGCAGAAGGAUGUGAUUGAAAAGGAAGCUGGAAAAGCAGAAGCAGAUUGUAUUUCCUACGUUGAGAAACAUGGAUAGACUCAUCCAAUACACAACUGGCAGAGGGCCCAGAACGUGUUCUGACAAAGGAAAAGGGAGAGAAAAAGACUUAAAUUCUUAGAGCAUGUGGAUACAUUUCAUUAUAUGAACAUGAGAAGUCUGAGAAAAAGACACAGCAGUACUCAUGGAAAAAUAAGAGACAAAGCUUGAUGCAGGAAGAACUUUGAAAUAUUUGGUAGAGCCACAUGUGACUGAUCAAAAUAUUCACCCUAAGCAUAGAAAACAGGAGUGUUAAAAUUUGCCAGAGAUGGGACUCACCUGCAGCAGAACAUGAGUUUAACAGAACUUGGGAGACCCUUCCAAUGGAAGGUGUUUUGUUCACAAAGCACUGUCACUUUGGAGACCUUGAUCCGAUUUCUACAAUAAAUGAAACUCCUUUUCCUCAAGUCACUCAUUCCUGUUUCUGCUGACAGCACAGCCAAGACUGAGUGUUUUAUACCAGGUCCUCAGCGCAAGUGUGCAGCACGACUUCAAGUGGAGCUCACAUUAACACAUCUACUUAACUGUUAAGGUAAAUCUUUUAUGUCAAUCAUUCACCAUUUAAGAGGUUCACAUUUCUAGUUUUGAUUUAUCCACAGUCAAUUUCUAACUGAGUUUUCUCCAUCCUAUCCAGCUGCCAAUCGCUACAACGUUUUUCUUCCACAGGCUUAACAGGUUUUACUGCAUACUUAAAUUUUCACUGAACUUCUACUUGACAUCAAACUCAAUUGAAGGAUCUUGGGGAUAAACUGAAUACAGUUUGGGUUGCUUCCCAGUGGAUGCUUGGCAUCAGAAGGGACCACUGGCUUGAGCUAGUGCAUGACAAGUCUUAGGAUGCCUGUGCUGAAAGACCUCUCUUAAUGGACCUUGACGGGGUUUGGUUUGAUUUGUUCCAGAAUGGGAUUAUCCUCCUUCCUGUUGCUGCAGACUCAUGAUCUGGACUCCAGGACUCAAGCAGGACUGAGGGAUGCAUGCAAGUGGUAAGAAGCUGGAUCAUCUUUCUUCAUCUGCUCGCUGCAAUCCCAGAAUUUGCAAGUGUGACAAAGUAUUUCAUCCCUUUAGAGGAUUAGGGAUGUGGAUUUGCCUCUCACCGAGGUGCUGCAGGAGGAUGUCUCCAAGACCUGAUUUAACCUGAAGCAUGCACUUCCUCUGGAGGUCUGCAGCAGGGCUGGAGAACUGCAAACACUGCAUCCCUUUCCUCCUGUCACCUGAUUCCAUGUGACUGCAGUGCCUGUGCCGUGCUCUCAGCUCCCUCACCCUGAAGUGUUCCUCAUGAUGGUUUGUACAGAGCUGCCUUGGAGCAGGCUUCGCUUUUGGUGGCAGUAUCCCUUGUUGUCAUUUCAUUCAUGAAGAAGAUGGCUUUAUCCUUGCCUUUGUUCCACUGAGACCAGCUGCUCUACCCACAGGCACCAAAAGUGGAAAAUCUUCCAUAACCUUUUUUAAUUUUCAAUUGAAGCUCUUCAUCACGUGAACUUCUUGGUGUUUUUUGAGAGGUAAAGACUUUUUGACUUUUUUUGCUUUUUAAUUUUUUUUAAGAACCAACACCAAAUAAAAACCCAAACACCAAAACCAACAAGCCCAAAACUGACUGAAAUUUUAAACCCACGCAUUGAACCCAAGUUCAAUGAAAUAACUGCAUUGUGUGACUGAUACAGUCCAUGGGAGUACAAAGCAUUCCCUCUCUGGUCUUGCACAUCCACUCCCUGUAGCUAUUAAUAGCUUUUAGACAUGAAGACAGGCAGGAGUAGUUUGCCAUGCAAACAUUUAUCUGGGAGCCCCAUCCUAUUUUCUAAACUAAACUGAAGAUUUCAGUGUGAUAAAGUGGACAUUUUAAAGCAUUGGUAGAGAUGGGGGAAUGUAACUGCACUUAAACUGGGGUUGGAUUAGGCAUUCUCAUAUCAUGGAGUCUGCCACUAAAUAGCAAAGUAUACGAGCAAUGGAAAUAUGUCCUUCUUCAUCUGUAAAAAGAGGACAGUUUUAAAAAUCUAUCAAUCUUUCAAAUCUUAAGGCAUAUUGAUCUGAAUCAUCACGGGAAUCCAACAGAUAGCUAUUAUUGUUAGUGAUCUAAAAAUAUAAAUGUGGUUGAAUACAUGGCAAAAUGUAUCUUAUUCGAGUUGUCUUUAUUACUACAAUAAAUGAUACCAAGUCUCUCUUC